AUUGAACGCUGGCGGCAGGCCUAACACAUGCAAGUCGAGCGGAGCGGCGGACGGGUGAGUAAUGCCUAGGAAUCUGCCUGGUAGUGGGGGAUAACGUCCGGAAACGGGCGCUAAUACCGCAUACUAUCAGAUGAGCCUAGGUCGGAGUAGCUAGUGGGGGGGGUAAAGGCCUACAAAGGCGACGAUCCGUAACUGGUCGGAGAGGAUGAUCAGUAAAACGGGAACGGGGACCCGGUCCAGCCUCCUACGGGAGGAAGCAGUGGGGAAUAUUGGACAAUGGGCAAAAUCCUGAUGCAGACAUGCCGGGUGUGUGAAGAAGGUCUUCGGAUUGUAAAGCACUUUAAGUUGGGAGGCGUUACCAACAGAAUAAGCACCGGCUAACUUCGUGCCAGCAGCCGCGGUAAUAC
This 407-nucleotide ribosomal RNA is filed under the name uncultured bacterium. Its description in RNAcentral is "partial 16S ribosomal RNA". It matches the Rfam family "Bacterial small subunit ribosomal RNA", at positions 29 to 526 of the family's 1533-position model. The record is from RNAcentral.